UCCGAGUUGACCCCGGCAGUUUGUUCCGAGUCCCCGACAUUACCCGCUGGCAACAUAGAACGAGGGUUGCGCUCGUUGCGGGACUUAACCCAACAUCUCACGACACGAGCUGACGACAGCCAUGCACCACCUGUCACCGCCCCCGAAGGACCUCCCAUCUCUGGAAGUUUUGCGGUGAUGUCAAACCCAGGUAAGGUUCUUCGCGUUGCAUCGAAUUAAUCCACAUAAUCCACCGCUUGUGCGGGUCCCCGUCAAUUCCUUUGAGUUUUAACCUUGCGGCCGUACUCCCCAGGCGGUCAACUUCACGCGUUAGCUUCGUUACCAAGGAAUUGCUUCCCCGACAACCAGUUGACAUAGUUUAGGGCGUGGACUAC
This 374-nucleotide unclassified non-coding RNA is filed under the name uncultured bacterium. RNAcentral's name for it is "contains 16S-23S intergenic spacer region". The record is from RNAcentral.